CGUGCCUAAUACAUGCAAGUCGAGCGAACUGAUUAGAAGCUUGCUUCUAUGACGUUAGCGGCGGACGGGUGAGUAACACGUGGGCAACCUGCCUGUAAGACUGGGAUAACUUCGGGAAACCGAAGCUAAUACCGGAUAGGAUCUUCUCCUUCAUGGGAGAUGAUUGAAAGAUGGUUUCGGCUAUCACUUACAGAUGGGCCCGCGUCGCAUUAGCUAGUUGGUGAGGUAACGGCUCACCAAGGCAACGAUGCAUAGCCGACCUGAGAGGGUGAUCGGCCACACUGGGACUGAUGACACGGCCCAGACUCCUACGGGAGGCAGCAGUAGGGAAUCUUCCGCAAUGGACGAAAGUCUGACGGAGCAACGCCGCGUGAGUGAUGAAGGCUUUCGGGUCGUAAAACUCUGUUGUUAGGGAAGAACAAGUACUAGAGUAACUGCUCGUACCUUGACGGUACCUAACCAGAAAGCCACGGCUAACUACGUGCCAGCAGCCGCGGUAAU
Molecule: ribosomal RNA, 501 nt
Filed under: Bacillus sp. A1
Lineage: Bacteria; Bacillati; Bacillota; Bacilli; Caryophanales; Bacillaceae
Description: bacterial SSU rRNA
Rfam family: Bacterial small subunit ribosomal RNA
Source: RNAcentral